Molecule: non-coding RNA, 187 nt
Organism: Chlamydomonas reinhardtii
Lineage: Eukaryota; Viridiplantae; Chlorophyta; Chlorophyceae; Chlamydomonadales; Chlamydomonadaceae
Source: Rfam
GGUAACCAAAAAUAACAGCAGCAUUUGUUGUUGGGUUAGUAAUAACACGAACGUCACCACCACCUGGAGCCCAAGUAUCGUAAACACCACCAAAGUACAUAGCUUUCCAAACAAGUAACCAUGCACCUAAGCCUAACAUGAUAAGGUGGUAACCUAAAAUGUUAGUCAUUUUGUUUUUGUCUUUCCA